UGGCACAAGUGGAGAGUCCUUUAGCGCAAAGGCUAUGGAAACCUUCAUGCUUGAUUUUUUUUCGAACAAAAUUUUAGAAUUAAAAGACUAUUAUUACAUGUCAAAGGUUAUUAGAAACAUUAUUUCUACACCUUUGUUGUAAAAACAAGGUUAUGAAAUAAGGCUAAUGGAAAUGAAUGCUCUAUUUUCUUUUCUAAUGAAUUUUAUAGUAGUGGUUAUAUUGAUAAUAAUCUUUUAAUUCUUGCAC
This 247-nucleotide long non-coding RNA is filed under the name Elaeis guineensis (African oil palm). RNAcentral describes it as "long non-coding RNA (EGUI_LNC056540)". The record is from RNAcentral. Lineage: Eukaryota; Viridiplantae; Streptophyta; Magnoliopsida; Arecales; Arecaceae.